Molecule: non-coding RNA, 564 nt
Organism: Oryctolagus cuniculus (rabbit)
Lineage: Eukaryota; Metazoa; Chordata; Mammalia; Lagomorpha; Leporidae
Source: RefSeq, a predicted model, not a curated record
UGCAUUAGUCACUUUGGGGGAAGGCUGCUGCUAUGCUGUGAGCAGACCUUAGGAGAAGCCGCUGGCCGCCGACUGCAGGGGGAGCAAGCAUGGUGGCCGAUCUUCCAGCCUCAGCUGUGCCAUAGAUGACUGCAACCCCACCUGACACUUUGCAAUUUCCUGAAAGAUGCUAAACCACAGCAAUCUAGCUAAGCUGCUUCCACACUCCUGACCCUCCGAAAUGUGCGAGGAAGGAGACUAAAUCCUACAUUUUGAAAUAUCUGAGCUUACAAUCUGGUAUCUCAAGACCUUGAUUUCAUCAUCUUUAGCGGUGGCACAACUCUGGGGGCUUUAAAAGGCUUGAUUUACAAAUUCAGUGUCCAUGAUUUGAAGACACCACUAUCAGUCUGAAGAGAAAGGGAAAAGAGGCCAGCUGGAUCCAGGAGAGAGGCCAGAUUAUUUAUGCAUCCACAAAAUUUUUUCUAUCCUUUAAUGGCUUAAAAAAAAAAAAGAGAUGUUUUUCUUUUACAAAGAAUAAAUACAAUUGUACUUCUGGAGGAAAAAGAAAUAAAAUCUAAACUCUGA